GAGAAUCUGCCUAGAGGAUGGGGACAACCACGGGAAACUGUGGCUAAUACCCAAUGAGCGGAGACGUUAAAGAUUUAUCGCCUCUAGAGGAGCUCGCGUCUGAUUAGCUAGUUGGUGGGGUAAAAGCCUACCAAGGCGACGAUCAGUAGCUGGUCUGAGAGGACAACCAGCCACACUGGGACUGAGACACGGCCCAGACUCCUACGGGAGGCAGCAGUGGGGAAUUUUCCGCAAUGGGCGAAAGCCUGACGGAGCAAUACCGCGUGAGGGAGGAAGGCUCUUGGGUCGUAAACCUCUUUUCUCAGGGAAGAAGAAAGUGACGGUACCUGAGGAAUCAGCCUCGGCUAACUCCGUGCCAGCAGCCGCGGUAAUACGGAGGAGGCAAGCGUUAUCCGGAAUUAUUGGGCGUAAAGCGUCCGUAGGUGGCUCUUCAAGUCUGCUGUCAAAGAGUGGGGCUUAACUCCAGAAAGGCAGUGGAAACUGAAAGGCUAGAGAUCCGUAGGGGUAGAGGGAAUUCCCGGUGUAGCGGUGAAAUGCGUAGAGAUCGGGAAGAACAUCGGUGGCGAAAGCGCUCUACUGGACGGUAUCUGACACUGAGGGACGAAAGCUAGGGGAGCGAAUGGGAUUAGAUACCCCAGUAGUCCUAGC
Molecule: ribosomal RNA, 648 nt
Filed under: uncultured cyanobacterium
Lineage: Bacteria; Bacillati; Cyanobacteriota
Description: bacterial SSU rRNA
Rfam family: Bacterial small subunit ribosomal RNA
Source: RNAcentral